CUACACAUGCAAGUCGUACGAGAAAGUCGGCUUCGGCCGAUGAGUACAGUGGCGCACGGGUGAGUAACGCGUGGGUAAUCUGCCCCCCGGUCAGGAAUAACCCGCCGAAAGGCGGGCUAAUACCCGAUAACACUGACGCUCUGCGGAGUGUCUUUCAAAGAAGGCCUCUGUUUACAAGCUUUCGCCGGAGGAUGAGCCCGCGUACCAUUAGCUAGUUGGCAGGGUAAUGGCCUACCAAGGCAACGAUGGUUAGCUGGUCUGAGAGGAUGGCCAGCCACACUGGAACUGAGACACGGUCCAGACUCCUACGGGAGGCAGCAGUGAGGAAUCUUGCGCAAUGGGGGAAACCCUGACGCAGCAACGCCGCGUGAGUGAGGAAGGCCUUCGGGUCGUAAAGCUCUGUCAGAUGGGAAGAAAUGGGUGGGGGCUAAUAUCGUCCACCCUUGACGGUACCAUCAGAGGAAGCACCGGCUAACUCCGUGCCAGCAGCCGCGGUAAUACGGAGGGUGCAAGCGUUGUUCGGAAUUAUUGGGCGUAAAGGGCGCGCAGGCGGUUGUGAUAGUCAUAUGUGAAAUCCUCCGGCUCAACUGGAGAACUGCAUCUGAGACUUCACAACUAGAGUACAGGAGAG
Molecule: ribosomal RNA, 631 nt
Filed under: uncultured bacterium
Lineage: Bacteria
Description: bacterial SSU rRNA
Rfam family: Bacterial small subunit ribosomal RNA
Source: RNAcentral